RNAcentral lists this transfer RNA (69 nucleotides) under Smaug warreni. Its description in RNAcentral is "Arg-tRNA". The record is from RNAcentral. Lineage: Eukaryota; Metazoa; Chordata; Lepidosauria; Squamata; Cordylidae.
UAGAGACUAGUUUAACAAAAACUACUAAUUUCGACUUAGUAAAUCUCGCUAAACCUGCGAGGACUCUAA